This 167-nucleotide unclassified non-coding RNA is filed under the name plant metagenome. Its description in RNAcentral is "partial contains 5.8S ribosomal RNA, internal transcribed spacer 2, and large subunit ribosomal RNA". The record is from RNAcentral.
GCGGGUGGCGAUGAUCUUUUCCUCCCUAGCCUUGCGUUGCUUACCCCGCCUAGUGCGCUCUAUCAUCUUCGCUCGCUCGAACUUGGCGAGCUGAGCUUCCUGCUUCGACCAGCUCGUCCCCCUAGGAGCCUGUUUGGUAAAGGCGAGGGUUAAACCUUUUCGUGGAU